RNAcentral lists this long non-coding RNA (395 nucleotides) under Mustela putorius furo (domestic ferret). Its description in RNAcentral is "lncRNA (ENSMPUG00000029032.1)". Lineage: Eukaryota; Metazoa; Chordata; Mammalia; Carnivora; Mustelidae. The record is from RNAcentral.
CUUAUUCUAAGUUUGGAAGGGAGCCCAGAGUGAAGGUACUGGAAAAGAACUACCUCAGGGACCGAGCCACACAAGGAAGGAGGGAGGGAGGGAGGGAGCAGGACUCAGAGAAAAAAAGGAAAGAAGAAGGCUGUUGGAAGAUUGUCUCCACUUCAUCCUGCUUGCCCUGUGGUUUCACUUGGAAAGGAAAAAGUCCCUGAUGGACAAGGAGGAAAAAAAUGGCCAGCUAGCCUGUUGUUGGGAGAAUAGCAACAGCAUUAUUGAAAGCUAACGGACCAAACAUGACCUUGUCAAUUUGAGCCAAUGCCACCUGAUGAUUCAAACGAGACUUGAUCAGUAUGGAAUUGCAAGACUCUCCUGGAAUUUCUACACAAAUAUAUAUUUGACAUUUUACC